UUGACAAGACUCAUCUAUAACGCCCGUGUCAGGCCUAUAUCACAGGCCAAAUUGGCCGACCAUUUCAUACUUUUUUUUUUUCAUUUCAUAUUUUUUUUCUAAUUUUGCCCUUGAAGCCAAAUAGUCCCCCACUAUAAAUAGGCUAUUCCGACGACCAUCAACGAUCACCGACGACCACCGAGCACCUCCAGACACCUCCGACAAUCACUAUUCACCGCCGACGACUGCCAAUCACUCUACCAACCGGUUCAAACCACAACUUAGUUGCGAAAUAAACACCAUUGCACCAUAAAUUAUGUCCAUCUGCGUUGGAUAACUUGAUUAACAAUCUAUGGCACAAAUAAUCAUUCAACCCUUAAUGGCAUAACCUUUAAGGUGGACAUGGCAGUAUAUAAUUCAACUUCGUUAAAAUAUGACAGUAUAUAAUUUAACCCCAAAAUUCGAUUGUACACUACGAAAAACUCCCAUCUACAAUCUACUAUAAAAAAAAAACUCAUUUGAUGAUAUACUACAAAAACACUCUCAUUUUGAUAGCUCUCUAAAUUUUUUUGUUCUCAUUCCGUUUACACUAUCAGAACCUAAACCACCUACUGUAUAUAAAGUAGGGUGCCGACAGGCCAACACCAAAAAAAUUUAAAUUUUUUUUAAUACUGGUGCCGACCAUUGACCAGCCAAUACUGUGGCAGACCCAUUUUGCCCAGGCCUUUGAAAUUAUUUACAACAAAUAAAUAAAUAAAUAAACUAAAUAAAAUUAAAUUGUUUGCAGUCAUAAAAUACAAACCCAAACUUGAGACCUAAAACCAAGAAUAAACCGGACCCAACAAAUAACCCAAAUCCCAGCCCAAAACAAAAAAAACUACUCAGCAAACCCUAAGAGCUUCAGUUGCUGCAGCCUCCAACUGCCUCCUCCACGCCAGCACGCCCACAAACAGCUUCACUCUAUGCCAUACACACCUGCAAAACGGAAUAACAAAUAGCAAUUGACAGCAAAGGAAUAAGAAUAACAAGGAUUUUUUUUAUUUUCUUUUUCUUUUUAUUUUUAUUUAUUUUUCGGCUAUAAAACUGAAUGAAAGGAUGUAAAAGGGGAAGGGACGAGUCUAUACAAAAUCGAUUCAAAAGUUUGAAUAAAAAGAGAAACAGUCUCUAAGAGGUGAUUUGAGAUUUCAUUUUUUCCUUUUCGAUUUUGUUUUUUUUCUUUGAUCUUCAUUGUUGUGCAUAAAAUAUAAAAUAAAUAAAAGCCUAAACACUUAUCUGUUAGAAGGAGCCUUAGAAUCCCUGUUUACUUUGUUGAAAUUGAAGCUCAAUGGGGAUUCAAGUGGUCUGAUUUGAUGAUAUGGAGGCAAAGAGUGAAGAACCUUUUGGUUCAGUCGACUAAAGGGGAAAAGGGGUUGAAAGGGGAAAAGGGGUUGAAAAUUUUUGAGAGAAGGGUUUUGAAAGUUGUUUUGAGAAGAAUAAUCGGUCAGAGGUUAUUAUGGCCUUGCCUUUUCACCUUAAAAGGUCAAUUUUCGCGUCGAGUCCCUCUUAUUCUACAUUUAUUUGUUUUUCAG
This 1547-nucleotide long non-coding RNA is filed under the name Gossypium barbadense (sea-island cotton). Its description in RNAcentral is "long non-coding RNA (GBAR_LNC010910)". The record is from RNAcentral. Lineage: Eukaryota; Viridiplantae; Streptophyta; Magnoliopsida; Malvales; Malvaceae.